This 434-nucleotide ribosomal RNA is filed under the name uncultured bacterium. RNAcentral describes it as "bacterial SSU rRNA". It matches the Rfam family "Bacterial small subunit ribosomal RNA", at positions 26 to 507 of the family's 1533-position model. The record is from RNAcentral.
AGAACGAACGCUGGCGGCAUGCCUAACACAUGCAAGUCGAACGAGACCUUCGGGUCUAGUGGCGCACGGGUGCGUAACGCGUGGGAAUCUGCCCCUCGGUUCGGAACAACAGUUAGAAAUGACUGCUAAUACCGGAUAAUGACGAAAGUCCAAGAUUUAUCGCCGAGGGAUGAGCCCGCGUAGGAUUAGCUUGCUGGUGGGGUAAUUGGCCCACCAAGGCGACGAUCCUUAGCUGGUCUGAGAGGAUGAUCAGCCACACUGGGACUGAGACACGGCCCAGACUCCUACGGGAGGCAGCAGUGGGGAAUAUUGGACAAUGGGCGAAAGCCUGAUCCAGCAAUGCCGCGUGAGUGAUGAAGGCCUUAGGGUUGUAAAGCUCUUUACCAGGGAUGAUAAUGACAGUACCUGGAGAAUAAGCUCCGGCUAACUCCGUG